UACGGGGGGGGCAAGCGUUGUUCGGAAUUACUGGGCGUAAAGGGCUCGUAGGCGGCCAACUAAGUCAGACGUGAAAUCCCUCGGCUUAACCGGGGAACUGCAUCUGAUACUGGAUGGCUUGAGUUCGGGAGAGGGAUGCGGAAUUCCAGGUGUAGCGGUGAAAUGCGUAGAUAUCGAGAGGAAUACCGGUGGCGAAGGCGGCAUCCUGGACCGACAUUGACGCUGAGGAGCGAAAGCUAGGGGAGCAAACGGG
Molecule: ribosomal RNA, 253 nt
Filed under: uncultured bacterium
Lineage: Bacteria
Description: partial 16S ribosomal RNA
Rfam family: Bacterial small subunit ribosomal RNA
Source: RNAcentral